Arachis ipaensis is the source of this 534-nucleotide long non-coding RNA. RefSeq lists it as uncharacterized. Lineage: Eukaryota; Viridiplantae; Streptophyta; Magnoliopsida; Fabales; Fabaceae. The record is from RefSeq and is a predicted model, not a curated record.
AAAAUAAAGUAACCAAACCCCCUCCCCCUCCCAAAACGAGGAUCACCACCCAUUUAACAUAGUCACCACAAUUUUGAAGCCCUAACGCAGUAACGCUCCCAAAACUUCUCCCAUACUCCAAACGGUUGGUGUCCUCUCAUUCCCUGACACUGCCAAACAGCACUUUUGUGGAGGCGCAUCCCUUUCUCUCCCUCCCUUCUUCAUCACGCUUCUCUCUUUUUUGCGCAGCCCCUCCCUCCAUUCCUCGUCGUCCUCCAUGCAGAGCAGUCGCCGUCUACUCCACGCCUUUUCCUCCACGCACCAGUAGGCGCCGUUAUCUUCCACGUUGCCGUCCUCAAGAAUGGAGCUUAUGAGUUAGUUAGAUAUCACUUCAAGUGAGAAUAUUGGCGACAUAGGAGGAGCAAUAGAAGAUGGUAUAUUUGCCUUUUAAUUUUAGAUUUGUUUGCUUGAAAAUGUUUUGCUGUUUUGCUAGAGAGAACACCAAAACGUGGUUGUCUUAGCUUGAAAAAUUAAGGAAAAUUAGUUUUUAUUUUU